RNAcentral lists this ribosomal RNA (497 nucleotides) under uncultured bacterium. Its description in RNAcentral is "partial 16S ribosomal RNA". It matches the Rfam family "Bacterial small subunit ribosomal RNA", at positions 28 to 507 of the family's 1533-position model. The record is from RNAcentral.
GACGAACGCUGGCGGCGUGCCUAAUACAUGCAAGUUGAGCGCUGAAGGUUGGUACUUGUACCAACUGGAUGAGCAGCGAACGGGUGAGUAACGCGUGGGGAAUCUGCCUUUGAGCGGGGGACAACAUUUGGAAACGAAUGCUAAUACCGCAUAAAAACUUUAAACACAAGUUUUAAGUUUGAAAGAUGCAAUUGCAUCACUCAAAGAUGAUCCCGCGUUGUAUUAGCUAGUUGGUGAGGUAAAGGCUCACCAAGGCGAUGAUACAUAGCCGACCUGAGAGGGUGAUCGGCCACAUUGGGACUGGGACCCGGCCCAAACGCCUACGGGAGGCAGCAGUAGGGAAUCUUCGGCCAUGGACGAAAGUCUGACCGAGCAACGCCGCGAGCGUGAAGAAGGUUUUCGGAUCGUAAAACUCUGUUGGUAGAGAAGAACGUUGGUGAGAGUGGAAAGCUCAUCAAGUGACGGUAACUACCCAGAAAGGGACGGCUAACUACGUG